CUGUUAAGUGAUGAUGUGGCAGAUAGAGUGUCAUGUCAUCAUGCCUUGUCACAGACACCUCAUUGUCACAUCAUCACCUUCAAUGACAUGUCAAUGAUUGGACGUGAUGAUGUGACACUCUGUCUACCAAGUCAUCACUUAAUGGAA
Non-coding RNA from Glycine max (soybean), 147 nucleotides. NCBI's taxonomy places the organism in Eukaryota, Viridiplantae, Streptophyta, Magnoliopsida, Fabales, Fabaceae. The record is from Rfam.